Molecule: ribosomal RNA, 403 nt
Filed under: uncultured bacterium
Lineage: Bacteria
Description: partial 16S ribosomal RNA
Rfam family: Bacterial small subunit ribosomal RNA
Source: RNAcentral
GACGAACGCUGGCGGCGUGCCUAAUACAUGCAAGUCGAACGCAGUGGGGACGGGUGAGUAACACGUGGGUAACCUCCCAUCAGAGGGGAUAACACUUGGAAACAGGUGCUAAACCGAUACUGCUGGAUGGACCCGCGUUGCAUUAGCUAGUUGGUGAGGUAACGGCUCACCAAGGCCACGAGGCAUCGCGGAUCUGAGAGGUGGACCGGCCACUCUGUGACUGAGACACGGCCCAGACUCCUCCGGGAGGCAGUAGUAGGGAUUCGGCGGAAAGGGACGCAAGUCUGACCGAGCUACGCCGCGUGAGUGAAGAAGGUUUUCGGUUCGUAAAACUCUGUUGUUAGAGAAGCGGGAUCUAACCAGAAAGCCACGGCUAACUACGUGCCAGCCGCCGCGGUAAUUC